This 253-nucleotide ribosomal RNA is filed under the name uncultured bacterium. RNAcentral describes it as "partial 16S ribosomal RNA". It matches the Rfam family "Bacterial small subunit ribosomal RNA", at positions 524 to 776 of the family's 1533-position model. The record is from RNAcentral.
UACGUAGGUGACAAGCGUUGUCCGGAUUUACUGGGCGUAAAGAGCGCGCAGGCGGUCGAUCAAGUCGAGUGUGAAAGCCCCCGGCUCAACCGGGGAGGGUCGUCGGGGACCGCACCGCUUGAGGGCGGUAGGGGCUGGUGGAAUGCCUGGUGUAGUGGUGAAAUGCGUAGAGAUCAGGCGGAACACCCGUAGCGAAGGCGGCCAGCUGGGCCGUCCCUGACACUGAGGCGCGAAGGCGUGGGGAGCGAACGGG